This 512-nucleotide ribosomal RNA is filed under the name uncultured bacterium. RNAcentral's name for it is "partial 16S ribosomal RNA". It matches the Rfam family "Bacterial small subunit ribosomal RNA", at positions 28 to 507 of the family's 1533-position model. The record is from RNAcentral.
GAUGAACGCUGGCGGCGUGCCUAAUACAUGCAAGUCGAACGAAACUUCUUUAUCACCGAGUGCUUGCACUCACCGAUAAAGAGUUGAGUGGCGAACGGGUGAGUAACACGUGGGCAACCUGCCCAAAAGAGGGGGAUAACACUUGGAAACAGGUGCUAAUACCGCAUAACCAUAGUUACCGCAUGGUAACUAUGUAAAAGGUGGCUAUACUACCGCUUUUGGAUGGGCCCGCGGCGCAUUAGCUAGUUGGUAGGGUAAAGGCUUACCAGGGCAAUGAUGCGUAGCCGAAUUGAGAGGUUGAUCGGCCACAUUGGGACUGAGACACGGCCCAAACUCCUACGGGAGGCAGCAGUAGGGAAUCUUCCACAAUGGGCGAAAGCCUGAUGGAGCAACGCCGCGUGGGUGAAGAAGGUCUUCGGAUCGUAAAACCCUGUUGUUAGAGAAGAAAGUGCGUGAGAGUAACUGUUCACGUUUCGACGGUAUCUAACCGGAAAGCCACGGCUAACUACGUG